This 486-nucleotide ribosomal RNA is filed under the name uncultured bacterium. RNAcentral describes it as "partial 16S ribosomal RNA". It matches the Rfam family "Bacterial small subunit ribosomal RNA", at positions 30 to 507 of the family's 1533-position model. The record is from RNAcentral.
AUUGAACGCUGGCGGCAUGCCUUACACAUGCAAGUCGAACGGCAGCACGGGUGCUUGCCCCUGGUGGCGAGUGGCGAACGGGUGAGUAAUACAUCGGAACAUGUCCUGUAGUGGGGGAUAGCCCGGCGAAAGCCGGAUUAAUACCGCAUACGAUCUACGGAUGAAAGCGGGGGACCUUCGGGCCUCGCGCUAUAGGGUUGGCCGAUGGCUGAUUAGCUAGUUGGUGGGGUAAAGGCCUACCAAGGCGACGAUCAGUAGCUGGUCUGAGAGGACGACCAGCCACACUGGGACUGUGACACGGCCCAGACUCCUACGGGAGGCAGCAGUGGGGAAUUUUGGACAAUGGGCGAAAGCCUGAUCCAGCAAUGCCGCGUGUGUGAAGAAGGCCUUCGGGUUGUAAAGCACUUUUGUCCGGAAAGAAAUCCUUGGCCCUAAUACGGUCGGGGGAUGACGGUACCGGAAGAAUAAGCACCGGCUAACUACGUG